UACGUAGGUCCCGAGCGUUGUCCGGACUUAUUGGGCGUAAAGCGAGCGCAGGUGGUUUAUUAAGUCUGGUGUAAAAGGCAGUGGCUCAACCAUUGUAUGCAUUGGAAACUGGUAGACUUGAGUGCAGGAGAGGAGAGUGGAAUUCCAUGUGUAGCGGUGAAAUGCGUAGAUAUAUGGAGAAACACCGGUGGCGAAAGCGGCUCUCUGGCCUGUAACUGACACUGAGGCUCGAAAGCGUGGGGAGCAAACAGG
RNAcentral lists this ribosomal RNA (252 nucleotides) under uncultured bacterium. Its description in RNAcentral is "partial 16S ribosomal RNA". It matches the Rfam family "Bacterial small subunit ribosomal RNA", at positions 524 to 776 of the family's 1533-position model. The record is from RNAcentral.